This 66-nucleotide transfer RNA is filed under the name Tipula fascipennis. RNAcentral's name for it is "tRNA-Phe". It matches the Rfam family "tRNA". From Rfam's summary of the family: Transfer RNA (tRNA) molecules are approximately 80 nucleotides in length. The record is from RNAcentral. Lineage: Eukaryota; Metazoa; Arthropoda; Insecta; Diptera; Tipulidae.
AUUUAAAUAGCUUAUAUUUAGAGCAUAACACUGAAGAUGUUAGGGAGAUUGUUAAAUCUUUGAAUA